Molecule: ribosomal RNA, 254 nt
Filed under: uncultured bacterium
Lineage: Bacteria
Description: partial 16S ribosomal RNA
Rfam family: Bacterial small subunit ribosomal RNA
Source: RNAcentral
UACGGGGGGAGCAAGCGUUGUUCGGAUUUACUGGGCGUAAAGGGCGCGUAGGCGGCGUGACAAGUCACUUGUGAAAUCUCCGGGCUUAACUCGGAACGGUCAAGUGAUACUGCAGUGCUAGAGUGUGGAAGGGGCAAUCGGAAUUCUUGGUGUAGCGGUGAAAUGCGUAGAUAUCAAGAGGAACACCUGAGGUGAAGACGGGUUGCUGGGCCAACACUGACGCUGAUGCGCGAAAGCCCAGGGGAGCAAACGGG